UGUUUCCAUCUGCUGCUCGUUACCUCCUGGUCUCCUGUCCAUAUAUCCUCCUCCCUUCGCUCAGACUGGUCUCCAUGCCUUGCUUGGUCCUGUCUCCUGUGCUCCCUCCUUGAUCUCCACACCCGGUUCCAGGUUCAGCUUUAUAACUACAAAAUACUGAAGACAAAGUUGCUAAGACAGCAACACCUGAAGCUUCAGUACAGCAGCUGAGUGCUGCUGAGUUCUCACAGUCUCCACACAGGGUCAACUAAUACUCAACCUGUUUUAACAAGAUGUCCUUAAAAGAAAAAAUAUAGUGGCUCUCUCUGGCCUGUUCUCAUCACUCCUGUCAACGGAGCCAUUUCUGGACAAUUUUGUGAGCGGAUUACAGAGGCUGGAGGGCAUGAAGGGAAGAAGGUAGCUGGAGAAGAAGAGGGCAAAAAGGAGGAGGAUGAGGAGGAAGGGACUGCUGGCAAUAAAUAAGU
Monopterus albus (swamp eel) is the source of this 464-nucleotide long non-coding RNA. RefSeq lists it as uncharacterized. The record is from RefSeq and is a predicted model, not a curated record. The transcript is spliced from 3 exons. Lineage: Eukaryota; Metazoa; Chordata; Actinopteri; Synbranchiformes; Synbranchidae.